Molecule: long non-coding RNA, 1308 nt
Organism: Ornithorhynchus anatinus (platypus)
Lineage: Eukaryota; Metazoa; Chordata; Mammalia; Monotremata; Ornithorhynchidae
Exons: 4
Source: RefSeq, a predicted model, not a curated record
CAGCAGCGAAACGGGAGAGAGCCGAGGGUGGAGGCUGAAAUUUACCGCACGGAAGCAGGCGGCCCUGCACCGCUGUCCUAUUUUUACGGAGAAAACUCUACGGUCGCAGAUGGAGGUGGGGCGUUCUGGGAGAGACGUGUCCGGGGAGUCGCUGGGGGUCAGAGUCGACUUGACAGCGUAAGAUAAGACCAGACGGACUGAUUGAUUCCGGCAGGAAAGCUUUUGAGAGAAGUCCCAUGAGCGGACUAUCAGCUCGCUGUGGGCCGAGAAAGCGUGUGUUAUACCGUUACGCCGUACUCUCCCGAGCACUCGGAACAGUGUUCUGCACACGAUGAGGAAAUGGAGACCCAGGGAGGUGAAGUGAUUUGCCCAAGGUCACACAGCAGAACGGAGGCAGAACUGGAAUGAGAACCCCAGCCUCCACCUAGGUGACCUGGGAGAGCUGAGAAAUUCCACGAGUCCCACCGUUUCAAAACAUCGCUGGCCCACCAAUUCACUGAUCAGAGUACAAUUAUCUUCUUCAAUUCAGGGAGGGGAUCCCUGGCUAACUUCAUUUAAGAUCGAUCCCGAAAGGCCGAAAUGGGCGGUGUUCAUCAUUAUCGAUCGGUGGUGUCUAGACUCUAAGCUCCUUCGUCGUCAUCAUCGGCGGAGUUUAUGGAGCCCUGACCGCGUGCAGCUCACUGGGCAAGUACAACAGAACGGGGUUUGCGGAGACGUGGCCUGUCCUCAGCGAGCUCACGGUCUAGAGGGCGGGGCACGUUUCUAUCACCUCUGUCGUACCGUACUCCGGGGCACCGCCGGGAGCGAGGCCUUUAACCGGGCGCUUCUGAUUAACGAAAGGACGAGGGCCGGGUUUGCUAACUUGCCAGUAUCAGUGGAGAGUCCAAGCCUGCAGGCUGGAGGAAGGUCUAACCCGGCCGCCAUGCCCCAUCAGAUAAGGCCUCCGGAAGAAAGAGAACAAAAGAAAAAACCCCAUUCCAGGAAGGAGUGGAGGGGGGCGCUGGGAAAGUCGAGCUCUGCAAUUGCUUCCCCAGACAGGAAAUGAUUCCGGAGAUGGUUUAAUGGGGUGCGGGAGGAGGGGGGGCCCUGGAUGGGGAACAGCACCAUUCACUUAAAUCAUCACGAUGGAAAAAUCACGACGCAUGACCUCAGUACUCUCUCUCUCUCUCACACACACACACUGGAUGCUGCCAAAUUCUCCCCAUGCUGCACAACGGCGGUUAGAUUAUUAUGGGAUUCAUUAAUUAAUCAAUCAAUAGUAUUACUGAGUGCUUACCUUAUGCAGACCACUAUACAAAUCACCUGGGA